UGGGGAAUUUUGCACAAUGGGGGAAACCCUGAUGCAGCGACGCCGCGUGAUUUAGAAGGCCUUCGGGUUGUAAAAAUCUUUUUUAUGGGAUGAAAAUGACAGUACCAUAAGAUUAAGGUCCGGCUAAAUACGUGCCAGCAGCCGCGGUAAUACGUAUGGACCGAGCGUUGUCCGGAAUCAUUGGGCGUAAAGGGUACGUAGGCGGCCCAGUAAGUUAGAAGUGAAAUAAUAUAGCUCAACUAUAUAAAGCUUUUAAAACUGCUAGGCUUGAGAGAUGGAAGGGAAAGUGGAAUUCCUAGUGUAGCGGUGAAAUGCGCAGAUAUUAGGAAGAAUACCGGUGGCGAAGGCGACUUUCUGGUCAUCAUCUGACGCUGAGGUACGAAAGCGUGGGUAGCAAACAGG
This 402-nucleotide ribosomal RNA is filed under the name Verrucomicrobiota bacterium. Its description in RNAcentral is "Verrucomicrobia bacterium partial 16S ribosomal RNA". It matches the Rfam family "Bacterial small subunit ribosomal RNA", at positions 355 to 776 of the family's 1533-position model. Lineage: Bacteria; Pseudomonadati; Verrucomicrobiota. The record is from RNAcentral.